UGCCAUGCCAUGCCACCGACCAUGCCUCUAAAUGCAUGCUCUCAAAUGCUGCGGUACUUUCAUCCUUUCAUGACCAUCACUCAGAUUUAAAUGCUGAACCUUUGAACAUGACAGCGGAAAAAGUGAAAAGUCAAAUAACAACAUCAGGAAAUAGUUUUGAGACUCAUGUGCAGGUACUUACAUCAAUGUGCAGAGUAUGUGCUGGAAGGGUACAUGCUACAGAGAAAUAAAAAGAAUGUGCAACUGGAAGAUACAAGAAGAAAUUCUUGCAGUGUUUGAUGUAGGCACGUUUGAUGAUCAAGUUGAAAUCCAUCCCAAACAUCUAUCUCUAUGCCGAAAAUGUCUCAGAAAAGUUCAGCACCAGUCAUAUGAAAGAAGAAACUACGACUCGCAGCAUAUUACAGCAAUUCAGUGGAUUAAACAUCGGAGACACAAUUGCCGCAUCUGUACCGGUAAUCACAACUGAAGACUAAUUCUUAAGAAAAGAAGGAAGUACACAUGCGAUCACUUUUUUUGUAUAAAACUUUAUGUGAACUUGAGGUUACUGUGUUUGCACUUUGUGGUAAAACCGGCCUCCAACAAACGUUCUCAUAUACAUGCAACCUACGAGAAAGGCCAGUAGAACAUCAAAAAGUAGCUCUUCAAAAAGCUGGAGUCGCGAUUGAAGCAGCAAUAAGACAUAGUGUAGAUAUUCCAAGAUCAGUGGAAAGGCCUCCAGUUUCGUCAUUCGAAAGAAGCUCCAGGAAGAUGGUCACACCAUAAUUCAUACACCUGGAAGAGGUGUCCUGACCAUGAAGCUAACCCACUUCCAGUCCCGCUACGUCCUCCUCCUCCCGCUGGAUCAGACCAAGAAUGAACAAUGUUUGAAGGUUGUUGGAAACCUCUCCGCCUCUCUGGUUCAGCUUGCAGUGGAUGGGAUCAACCUCUACGAUCACAUGCCUUAGAAUAAUCCAGGAUUCUUCAGACAGGAACUUUGACACUGUUGGACAAAUUGAUAAAGAUCGUCGAGAACCCUCCAUGGCCUACCAACAUGAGGACCUGGACGAAACUUGUCGUUGAUCCUGCCCAGACACCCCUCAGUCAUUAGUCUCCUACCAACAUGAGGACCUGGAUGAAACCUGUCGUUGAUCCUCCCCCAUAGGCACCCCUCAGCCAGGAGUCUCCUACCAAUAUGAAGACCUGGAUGAAACCUGUCGUUGAUCCUCCCCCAUAGGCACCCCCCAGCCAGGAGUCUCCUACCAACAUGAGGACAUUGAUGAAACCGGUCGUUGAUCCUCCCCAGACACCCCUCAGUCAUUAGUCUCCUACCAACAUGAGGACCUGGAUGAAACCUGUCAUUGAUCCUCCCCCAUAGGCACCCCUCAGCCAGGAGUCUCCUACCAAUAUGAAGACCUGGAUGAAACCUGUCGUUGAUCCUCCCCCAUAGGCACCCCCCAGCCAGGAGUCUCCUACCAACAUGAGGACAUUGAUGAAACCGGUCGUUGAUCCUCCCCAGACACCCCUCAGCCAGGAGUCGCCUACCAACAUGAGGACAUUGAUGAAACUGGUCAUUGAUCCUCCCCCAUAGGCACCCCUCAGCCAGGAAUCUCCUACCAAUAUGAAGACCUGGAUGAAACCUGUCGUUGAUCCUCACUCAUAGGCACCCCACAGCCAGGAGUCUUCUACCAAUAUGAAGACCUGGAUGAAACCUGUCGUUGAUCCUCCCUCAUAGGCACCCCUCAGCCAGGAGUCUCCUACCAAUAUGAAGACCUGGAUGAAAUCUGUUGUUGAUCCUCCCCCAGAGGCACCCCUCAGACAGGAGUCAACUAUGAGUGACAUAGUACAUUGCCUUAGAUGCUGAGAGUGAAUACUUGGUCCAGGAAGCCCUUGAGGGAGGGGUUGAUGGUAGGAAGGAGAGUUAUCACCAUCGCCCAUUGCUUGUCAACCAUCAAGAACGCAAACAUGAAAGUCAUCCUGGAUUCUGGUGGGCUCGCAGUGACGGGUACCUACGAAGUCAAGGUACGAAUGGAUAAGUGGUUAUUCUGUUUCAGUCAUGAAAAAGGAAAAAUGGAAUUCAACUCUGUGGUUCUGUUUUCAGAAACGCGAAAAGUAAAUCACAACUUGCUUUCCGCUAUGUGAGUUUGUUUUGCACAUUCGCACAGCAAACAAUCAAAAUUGACGUCGUCUCCCUGCUUUGCUUUUCGCUCAUCAAUAUGGAAGAGCGCCAUCUGCGUCAACAAAAUGUUGAAAGCGCCGUAUUUCAUUAUUAUCUUAAUAGAAUUCAAAGUAAACCACCGUUAUAGCAUAUAUACACUGGCAGGCCAUGGUUGUUGAUUGUAUACAUGGUUGGGGCUGUUCUUAUUUUCUCUUGUGAGGAAUUUUGAAAUGACUGGUUCAAAUGUAAUAAACUUGUGAGGCAGAAUGUACGUAGGAUUGGUGUUACAUGUUCAAAUUUCUUUUUGCGAACUUAGAGCCUGGCAGCUGAAUUUGGUAUGCACUGGACUUCAGAAAGCUGAAUAUCUGGUACUACUAGAAGCAGUCCAUUAUUGCAGUCGAAGUGACUGAAUAUAAAUGCAUGAAUGAGCCUUUCUGUGGUUGACUUAUCCAGAAAAUGCCUUAUCUUUCCAAUCCCAUAUAGUCUAAUGGCUGCUGAUUUACAUAAACUAUUAACAUGAGCUUUCAUUCCAAGUUCAUCCUGAAUAAUUACUCCAAGAUCACAUGCUUUUGAAACUGACAUAAUGGGAAUAUCAGAAACAGUAAUUGACAACGAUGAUGACAUUUUGCAACCCGGUCUGAUAUACGCAACAAAAUCGAUAACUCUGAUGAUCACUAACACAGAAAAGCAUAUGUGGGACAGUGUAUUGAUAUUGCUUCUAAAUAUGCCGACAUUUGAUGGAAUUCCGUGCUUGUUUUGCUCAUUUCGCAGCAAUUACGCAUUAAUAUUUUUAAAGGUAGACUUGAUAAGAACAGUGCACAGGAUAUCUUUCCUCCCAAAUAGUGGAACGCCUUGAUUACCCUCAUGUCCAGGUUGCAUGAAAUAGAUCGAUUUACUUUUAAAGUUACAUCAUUUCAUAACUAAACCUUGUUUUAGAUAUCAAUGUUGAUCAGCUAACAUAGGUUGAACAUUUUGCUUCCACUUUGCAAUUAACUUUGCAACUACCCAUAAAUUAAUACUUACUGGUUGAGUUGCCCCAGUCUCACUAUUCUGUCCUUUUAUGCCAUGUAAGGCUUUGUCAGAAAUGGUAAGGAGAACCUCCUCUAACAACGGUUUGAACUCGUAGGAGCCUCCGCUUCUAUGAAAAAAGGUAUACAUUCAUUAAUUUCUUUCCUAAUACACCCCCUCCCUACCCAACAAAAUAAAAGAAAUAUAACAAGUUAACAGUUCCUCUGCAAUAAUGUUGUUAAUUAUACAGAAUUAUACAGUGCGUCCCAGAAAAAACGAAACCGAGAUGUACCAAUGUAAAACUUAGUAUCUCCUCUUUCAUCUGGUAUUACUUAGAUAAUUCUUUAUUCACGCAUGAGUGAGCAAAAACAAUUUGAA
This is a long non-coding RNA of Lytechinus variegatus (green sea urchin), 3520 nucleotides long. RefSeq lists it as uncharacterized. NCBI's taxonomy places the organism in Eukaryota, Metazoa, Echinodermata, Echinoidea, Temnopleuroida, Toxopneustidae. The transcript is spliced from 5 exons. The record is from RefSeq and is a predicted model, not a curated record.